RNAcentral lists this antisense RNA (75 nucleotides) under Streptomyces sp. S4.7. Its description in RNAcentral is "ASpks TB sRNA". It matches the Rfam family "ASpks TB sRNA". Lineage: Bacteria; Bacillati; Actinomycetota; Actinomycetes; Kitasatosporales; Streptomycetaceae. The record is from Rfam by way of RNAcentral.
CUUCAACGACCCGAGCCAAAGGGGCUGUUCGGACGAGCGGUCCUUGCCGUAGGUGUCCAGCAGCGCCUGGGCCUC